AUGUCGGGGUCCACAGAAGCUCGCCGCCUUUUUAUUUUUCCAAAGUACAUCUUGAAAAAUGACAGCCAGUUUUUCCUUUCCUUAGUAUUUUUAUUUUUUUUUUAUUUUUUAAUUUUUUUUAAUUUUUUUUUUUUUUAUGAUAGUCACAGAGAGAGAGAGAGGCAGAGACACAGGCAGAGGGAGAAGCAGGCUCCAUGCACCGGGAGCCCGAUGUGGGAUUCGAUCCCGGGUCUCCAGGAUCGGGCCCUGGGCCAAAGGCAGGCGCCAAACCGCUGCGCCACCCAGGGAUCCCUCCUUAGUAUUUUUAUAAAAGAAGGACCAUUUGUUCGUUUUAAUUAUUUUUUUUUAAUCACGGUGCUGCUGGCAUACGGUACAGUUCCUUCGCUUACAACUUGGGGAAUUUUGCUGACCCUCCAUAGUCGUACACGAAGGUCCAUAAUCGGGCCGGGCGGCUUCCGCAUCCCGGGUUUGCUCCUGCUCCUGGCCGUCAGUCUCCCACUCCUGGCCUGGGCCUCACUCAGCCUUCGAUGCCGCAAGCGGGGUUCAGUGUGGUUCAUCGUGUAGCUAAUUCUCAUUGGUUAUGCUGAGGUGAGGAUUCUUUGGGAUUUUGGAAGAAAAUAUCCUCACAUUUUCCAUUCCUUUCUUCCCAGAGACAGUUUGCUGGCAGAGUAUUGGCCACCUCUCUCGGCAGCCAGAUGAGAAACAGAGCUCGAGGCAGGGCGAGAACAAUGCCUGUGGCCAGCACCGUUCCGUGGUCUUUUUCUCUCUUUCUUUUUUUUUAGGAGUGUAGGAAAAUACAAAACAUAAAAAGGACCUAAAAUCAAGAGGAGUGCAAACUGCCGUUUGGGGAGAGAAGUCUGGCUGAGAGGUCAGAUGCCACGUUCCUCCUUCCUCCCGGGAGGCGGAUGCACUGAAGCCCUGGCCCGCGUGUCUGAUGGUGGAGGCCGCACCUUGUCACCAAGGGCAGACUCACUCGGGCCCUGGCCCUGUGGUGGUGACAGCCCCGUACUCCAGCCUGCGGAGCCCAUACUCCCAGCCGCAGCCCUCAAGUCACCACUGGCUGCUGCUUCCCGCGCAGGUCCACCGUGAUGCCAGAGGGACAGUUGUCACCUCCCAGCCUCCUGAAGGGCGUUUACGGCCCCUGCCUCGCGUGGGAUCUCUUACUUUCCACUGUGCUCGAGGCAUUGCUGUGACUUUUGAAGACAAUGCAAAAGUAAGACAGUACGUGUAGACUUUUCAAAGAAAAAGGCAGAUACAAGCCCCUCUCUGAGGCCACCGUCCCCAAGCCCUGCCUCUGCAGGAAACCACUCUUAAUUGUUGCUUUGUUUCUUCUUUAAAUUUAGCUUUUAUAUUAUUUUAUGUUACCAUAGUUUAACGAGUGAAAUAGUUCUCCAAGGCUUGUUAUUAAAACGGCGGUACAAGGCUCCUUGGGAGACGAUGCACAUGGUCUAAAAUUAGAGUGUGGUGGCGGUUGCACAACCCUGGAAACACCCCGAAACCCACGGACUGUGGGGAGGAUCUCGCCCGCGCGGGAACUGCAUGCAGGUCAGUGAAGCUGUGCAAA
This 1564-nucleotide long non-coding RNA is filed under the name Vulpes vulpes (red fox). Its description in RNAcentral is "lncRNA (ENSVVUG00000027813.1)". Lineage: Eukaryota; Metazoa; Chordata; Mammalia; Carnivora; Canidae. The record is from RNAcentral.